This 258-nucleotide long non-coding RNA is filed under the name Elaeis guineensis (African oil palm). RNAcentral describes it as "long non-coding RNA (EGUI_LNC061350)". The record is from RNAcentral. Lineage: Eukaryota; Viridiplantae; Streptophyta; Magnoliopsida; Arecales; Arecaceae.
GUCAUAUGAUAGAUUCAAUUAGCUCGAGUCCAUAUAUAAUUUUCAUGAAAAUAUUUUUUCAUUAAUCACACUGCUAUGGCCAUAGACUUAAGGACUCAGCUUCGUAAAUCUCAUAGGACUAUUUCUUUCUGCUAGGGUCGAUAGAUUCUAUUUAGGUGUGCACCCUACUCCUACAGUAGAUCAACUGUCACCAACAUCCACUACAAAGACUCAUUAAGUCAAUAUUUAUGUGUAGUCAAACUCCAGCAGCCUCACUAC